UCGAGCGAGUGGCGAACGGGUGAGUAACGCGUAGGUAACCUGCCUUGUAGCGGGGGAUAACUAUUGGAAACGAUAGCUAAUACCGCAUAAUGCAGUUGGGUCGCAUGGCUCUGACUGCCAAAGAUUUAUCGCUCUGAGAUGGCCUCGCGUCUGAUUAGAUAGUUGGUGGGGUAAAGGCUCACCAAGCCGACGAUCUCUAGCUGGUCUGAGAGGAUGACCAGCCACACUGGGACUGAGACACGGCCCAGACUCC
This 253-nucleotide ribosomal RNA is filed under the name uncultured bacterium. RNAcentral's name for it is "partial 16S ribosomal RNA". It matches the Rfam family "Bacterial small subunit ribosomal RNA", at positions 87 to 339 of the family's 1533-position model. The record is from RNAcentral.